RNAcentral lists this ribosomal RNA (877 nucleotides) under Serpula himantioides. Its description in RNAcentral is "LSU rRNA". It matches the Rfam family "Eukaryotic large subunit ribosomal RNA", at positions 67 to 915 of the family's 3401-position model. Lineage: Eukaryota; Fungi; Basidiomycota; Agaricomycetes; Boletales; Serpulaceae. The record is from RNAcentral.
AACAAGGAUUCCCCUAGUAACUGCGAGUGAAGCGGGAAGAGCUCAAAUUUUGAAUCUGGCGGUCCUCGUGGUYGUCCGAGUUGUAAUCUAGAGAAGCGUUUUCCGCGCUGGACCGUGUACAAGUCUCCUGGAACGGAGCGUCAUAGAGGGUGAGAAUCCCGUCUCUGACACGGACUACCAGGGCUUUUGUGAUGCGCUCUCGACGAGUCGAGUUGUUUGGGAAUGCAGCUCAAAUUGGGUGGUAAAUUCCAUCUAAAGCUAAAUACAGGCGAGAGACCGAUAGCGAACAAGUACCGUGAGGGAAAGAUGAAAAGAACUUUGGAAAGAGAGUUAAACAGUACGUGAAAUUGCUGAAAGGGAAACGCUUGAAGUCAGUCGCGUUGGCCGGGGAUCAGCCUUGCAAUCUUGUUGGGUGCAUUUCCUGGUUGACGGGUCAGCAUCGAUUUUGACCGUCGGAGAAGGGUCGAGGGAAUGUGGCAUCCUUCGGGGUGUGUUAUAGCCUUUGAUCGUAUGCGACGGUUGGGAUCGAGGAACUCAGCAUGACCCCUCGUGGGUUUGGGGCUUCGGCUCACAUCCAUGCUUAGGAUGCUGGCAUAAUGGCUUUAAGCGACCCGUCUUGAAACACGGACCAAGGAGUCUAACAUGCCCGCGAGUGUUUGGGUGUUUAAAACCCGAGCGCGUAAUGAAAGUGAAAGUUGAGACCUCUGUCGUGGAGGGCAUCGACGCCCGGACCAGAACUUUUGUGACGGCCCUGCGGUAGAGCGUGUAUGUUGGGACCCGAAAGAUGGUGAACUAUGCCUGAAUAGGGUGAAGCCAGAGGAAACUCUGGUGGAGGCUCGUAGCGAUUCUGACGUGCAAAUCGAUCGUCGAAUUUGGG